This 517-nucleotide ribosomal RNA is filed under the name Allacanthos pittieri. RNAcentral's name for it is "partial large subunit ribosomal RNA". It matches the Rfam family "Bacterial large subunit ribosomal RNA", at positions 1858 to 2611 of the family's 2925-position model. Lineage: Eukaryota; Metazoa; Arthropoda; Malacostraca; Decapoda; Pseudothelphusidae. The record is from RNAcentral.
CCUGCCCACUGAUAUAUUUAAAUUUUAAUGGCCGCGGUAUUUAUGACCGUGCAAAGGUAGCAUAAUCAUUAGUCUUUUAAUUGAGGGCUUGCAUGAAUGGUUGGACAAGAGAAAAACUGUCUUCUAAAAUAAGGAUUGAAUUUAACUUUUAAGUGAAAAGGCUUAAAUGGUUCAAAGGGACGAUAAGACCCUAUAAAGCUUUAUAAAGAAUAUAAAAUUUAGAUUAAUUUUAUUAUUAAAAGUUAAGAUUUAUAUUAUUAUUAAGUUGGGGCAACAAGAGUAUAAUUAAAAAUAACUGCUAAAUUAUUUUAUACAAAUAUAAUUGUGUUAAGUUUUUAUGAUCCUUAUUUUAAAGAUUUUAAGAUUAAGUUACUUUAGGGAUAACAGCGUUAUUUUUUUUGAGAGUUCUUAUCGAAAGAAAAGUUUGCGACCUCGAUGUUGAAUUAAAAUUUCUAUGUGGUGUAGUCAUUACAUAAGAGGGUCUGUUCGACCUUUAAUUUUUUACAUGAUUUGAGUU